GAGCUUGCUCUCUGGGUGGCGAGUGGCGGACCGGUGAGGAAUACAUCGGAAUCUACUCUGUCGUGGGGGAUAACGUAGGGAANNNNNCGCUAAUACCGCAUACGACCUACGGGUGAAAGCAGGGGACCUUNGGGCCUUGCGCGAUUGAAUGAGCCGAUGUCGGAUUAGCUAGUUGGCGGNNNAAAGNNNCACCAAGGCGACGAUCCGUAGCUGGUCUGAGAGGAUGAUCAGCCACACUGGAACUGAGACACGGUCCAGACUCCUACGGGAGGCAGCAGUGGGGAAUAUUGGACAAUGGGCGCAAGCCUGAUCCAGCCAUACCGCGUGGGUGAAGAAGGCCUUCGGGUUGUAAAGCCCUUUUGUUGGGAAAGAAAUCCAGCUGGCUAAUACCCGGUUGGGAUGACGGUACCCAAAGAAUAAGCACCGGCUAACUUCGUGCCAGCAGCCGCGGUAAUACGAAGGGUGCAAGCGUUACUCGGAAUUACUGGGCGU
RNAcentral lists this ribosomal RNA (492 nucleotides) under Stenotrophomonas sp. PCSM39. RNAcentral's name for it is "partial 16S ribosomal RNA". It matches the Rfam family "Bacterial small subunit ribosomal RNA", at positions 76 to 561 of the family's 1533-position model. Lineage: Bacteria; Pseudomonadati; Pseudomonadota; Gammaproteobacteria; Lysobacterales; Lysobacteraceae. The record is from RNAcentral.